GCCCGGAUACUGUGUGUGUUGCG
RNAcentral lists this microRNA (23 nucleotides) under Drosophila virilis. RNAcentral describes it as "dvi-miR-995-5p". Its record names the gene dvi-miR-995-5p. The record is from miRBase by way of RNAcentral. Lineage: Eukaryota; Metazoa; Arthropoda; Insecta; Diptera; Drosophilidae.